AAUGAAAAGAGAUACAUGAGUUAGAUCAAUAAUAAACCCUCUGUUUACAAGGUUCAUCUUCCCUCCUGAGAUGAUGGAGCCUAGCCAUGCAUGAAAAAGGUGCCGUCCGCCAUCGCCAUCUUCAUCUUGCUUCAAGGAAGGAAAGAGAGAAAAAGUUUGUAAAGGAAGGUAGGAUAGAAGGAAGAGGGAAAAGGUUUGUAGAGGAAGG
This 208-nucleotide long non-coding RNA is filed under the name Elaeis guineensis (African oil palm). RNAcentral describes it as "long non-coding RNA (EGUI_LNC050749)". The record is from RNAcentral. Lineage: Eukaryota; Viridiplantae; Streptophyta; Magnoliopsida; Arecales; Arecaceae.